UUCAAUAUCAUAUGCAUGACCUACAACACAUAUACAAAACCAUUGUAUGUCGACUGACACAUUGAACCAAAUUAAAAUUGACAAAUUAAUGCCUUCUUGCUAGGACAUGGUAACAACAAAUAAUAGAACACUUUACAAUGCUAUGGAGGAAUUAUAAAACUAAUAUGCAUUAGGAAUGAUGCUUAUCAUUAGCACUUACAUUUGGUAGGAGUCCAACAUCACUAGCAAUGAGGGCAACAACUCAUAGGCCGCCUGCACAUAGACACAGUGCCCCCUUUGUCAUGUGCCUCAGAUCCAACCAUUCUCCAUUAGCCGGCCAUUAUUUUCUGCCAUACCCCGCCCUGGCAUUGAUGACCCGGCACCAAAAAGCUUAAACCCAGUAGGACGAUUUUGUCCAGGAAAUUCAUGAAUCAGUACUCCAUACUCCAUGAGACACCUCACAACUCAUUGGAUGAGAAAUCUGAAGAAACCCAGAGAUUAUACACCAAAUAUGUGGCACAACACUUAUGUUUAGAUUCAAUCUAAAAAAUUAAUAAUCUCAGCUUCGCCAAACAAAAUUACGCUAUAAAUUGUGCCUGAUGAUAGGCUUCGGAUGUUGUAAUUGAACCAAAAAGUUGAGAAGGUAAAGGCACAUCUAAUCCUCUAAGAUUAACUACUACAUUUGUAAUUUUCUUCACUUAUUGAUCCUGCAUGCUACGGAAGUGUUGAAGAAACAAUAUUUUAAGUUGUGUAGAAUGUCCACUGAACAAAAUAAUGUAAGCUCUAACCCCUACAAAAUCAGAAGGGAGACCAAUGGAAAUUGAAAUAAUAACUCUAUGAUCCACAUUCUCUAAAUAAUCCAUACAAAAAAUAUGUACGAGGAAAUGUACUAAUUAAAUUAUAAUUACACUUACAUACUUAGUGGUUCAUUGUAAAAAUAGACGCUUUAGAAAUCAAAGUUUAAAACCAGCAUGUUACCUUUGAAAUACAUUUUACAGAAGAACUAAAUAAAUCAACUUAUAACACGCAUAUAUACUGCCAAGAGGAGAAUGCAGAAAAUGAUGAGAAUACGAAGGGAUUAAUACAUGUCUCCUACUCCGCCACAUCUCACAUGAGAACCACCGCGCCGAGCAGUCCACGCUGCAACUGCAGUAGCGCCUCCAUCCACACCACAUCGGUUCAGGAAAUUCAUGAAUCAGUACUCCAUACUCCGUGAUACACCUCACAGCUCAUUGGAUGAGAAAUCUGAAGAAACCCAAAGAUUAUACACCAAAUAUGUGGCACAAGACUUAUGUUAGAUUCAAUCUAAAAAAUUAAUAAUCUGAGCUUCACCAAACAAAAUUACGCUAUAAAUUGUGCCUGAUGAUAGGCUUCGGAUGUUGUAACUAAACCAGAAAGUUGAGAAGGUAAAGGCACAUCUAAUCCUCUAAGAUUAACUACUACAUCUGUAAUUUUCUUCACUUAUUGAUCCUGCAUGCUACGGAAGUGUUGAAGAAACAAUAUUUUAAGUUGGGUAGAAUGUCCACUGGAGAAAAAAAUGUAAGCUCUAACCCCUACAAAAUCAGAAGGGAGAUCAAUGGAAAUUGAAAUAAUAACUCUACGAUCCACAUUCUCUAAAUAAUCCAUACAAAAAAUAUGUAUGAGGAAAUGUACUAAUUAAAUUAUAAUUACACUUACAUAUUUAGUGGUUCAUUGUAAAAAUAGACGCUUUAGAAAUCAAAGUUUAAAUCCAGCACGUUACCUUUGAAAUACAUUUUGCAGAUGAACUAAAUAAAUCAACUUAUAACACGCAUAUAUACUGCCAAGAGGAGAAUGUAGAAAAUGAUGAGAGAAUACAAAGGGAUUAAUACAUGUCUCCUACUCCGCCACAUCUCACAUGAGAACCACCGCGCCAAGCAGUCCACGCUGCAACUGCAAUAGCGCCUCCAU
Molecule: long non-coding RNA, 1908 nt
Filed under: Triticum aestivum (bread wheat)
Lineage: Eukaryota; Viridiplantae; Streptophyta; Magnoliopsida; Poales; Poaceae
Description: long non-coding RNA (TAES_LNC017993)
Source: RNAcentral